This 890-nucleotide non-coding RNA is filed under the name Pristimantis fenestratus (Rio Mamore robber frog). RNAcentral's name for it is "partial 12S ribosomal RNA". It matches the Rfam family "Bacterial small subunit ribosomal RNA". Lineage: Eukaryota; Metazoa; Chordata; Amphibia; Anura; Strabomantidae. The record is from RNAcentral.
UAACUUACACAUGCAAGCAUCCACCCACCCGUGAAAACGCCCUUAAUCCAAUUUUAGGACAAGGAGCUGGUAUCAGGCACAAUAUUUAGCCCAAAACACCUAGCUAUGCCACACCCCCAAGGGUAUUCAGCAGUGAUUAACAUUAAAAAUAAACGCCAGUUUGAUUUAGCUAAUGACAACAGAGCCGGCUAAUCUGGUGCCAGCCGCCGCGGUUACACCAGAUGCUCACAUUGAUAUUAUUCGGCGUAAAGCGUGAUUAAAGAAAAUACCCGCCGGGGUUAAAUUUAAACUGAGUUGUAAAAUACCUGUUCUAAAGAUACCCCAUCCGAAAGACACCCCGAAUCAACAACUUGAACUCACGACAACUAGAACACAAACUGGGAUUAGAUACCCCACUAUGUCUAGCCGUAAACUUUAACUUACCACCACCAUUCGCCAGGGAAUUACGAGCUAAGCUUAAAACCCAAAGGACUUGACGGUGCCCCAUAUCCCCCUAGAGGAGCCUGUCCUAUAAUCGAUAAUCCACGUUAAACCCAACCAUUUUUAGUUUUUCAACCUGUAUACUUCCGUCCCCAGCUCACCGCAUGAGUGAAACAUAGUGAGCCCAAUGACUCCCCGCCAAUACGUCAGGUCAAAGUGCAGUUAAUAAAAUGGACAGAGAUGGGCUACACUUUCUACCUUAGAAAACACGAAAGAUCACAUGAAACACAAUCUGAAGGCGGAUUUAGUAGUAAAAAGAAAUUAGAACAUUCUUUUUAACCCGGCACUGGGGUGUGUACACACCGCCCGUCACCCUCUUCAAAAUAUCAUUUUAGUUCAUAACAAACUUACCACAACUAGAAGAGGCAAGUCGUAACAUGGUAAGUGUACCGGAAGGUGCACUUGGAAUA